Mirounga angustirostris (Northern elephant seal) is the source of this 107-nucleotide small nuclear RNA. The record is from RefSeq and is a predicted model, not a curated record. Lineage: Eukaryota; Metazoa; Chordata; Mammalia; Carnivora; Phocidae.
UGUGCCUGCUUCAGCAACACAUAACUAAAAUCGGAACAACACGGAGAAGAUUAGCAGGGCCGCUGUGCAAGGAUGACAUACAAAUCAGGAAGAAAUAGAAAAUCUUA